RNAcentral lists this ribosomal RNA (762 nucleotides) under uncultured Fusobacterium sp. RNAcentral's name for it is "bacterial SSU rRNA". It matches the Rfam family "Bacterial small subunit ribosomal RNA", at positions 1 to 776 of the family's 1533-position model. The record is from RNAcentral. Lineage: Bacteria; Fusobacteriati; Fusobacteriota; Fusobacteriia; Fusobacteriales; Fusobacteriaceae.
CCCAUAGCACAUUAAUCAAGCCACCACAGAAACAGGCAGCACACACAACCACAACAAGCCACACCACAAUUCACGAAAAUUAUUCGGGAAUGGACAGAAAGACAAUGGCAAAACAGUGAAUAACACAUGAGCAACCCUACCCAUAACUGCGAUACACGUGGAAAUCACGAUUAAUACCAGCAAGCAGCCACAGAACCCCUCCAUAGGGGUCAAAAGCUUCAUCAAUUCAGAAGGGCUCCAGUAUGAUCACAUACUUGGAAGGGUAAAGGCCAACCAAGGAGACGAUCAAUAGCGGUAUGAGAGGAUGAACGCACCACAUUGGAUUGAGACACGGUCCAAACUAUUCCGGGGGGCAGCAGUGGGGAAUAUUGAACAAUCGGGGGAACCCUGAUGCAGCGACGCCGCGUGAGCGAAGAAGGUUUUCGAAUCGUAAAGCUCUGUCCUAUGAGAAGAUAAUGACGGUAUCAUAGGAGGAAGCCCCGGCUAAAUACGUGCCAGCAGCCGCGGUAAUACGUAUGGGGCGAGCGUUGUCCGGAAUUAUUGGGCGUAAAGGGUACGUAGGCGGUUUUUUAAGUCAGGUGUGAAAGCGUGAGGCUUAACCUCAUUAAGCACUUGAAACUGGAAGACUUGAGUGAAGGAGAGGAAAGUGGAAUUCCUUGUGUAGCGGUGAAAUGCGUAGAUAUUAGGAGGAAUACCGGUGGCGAAGGCGACUUUCUGGACUUUUACUGACGCUCAGGUACGAAAGCGUGGGGAGCAAACAGG